UACGUAGGUGGCGAGCGUUGUCCGGAUUUACUGGGCGUAAAGAGCGCGCAGGCGGUCGUACAAGUCGCGUGUGAAAGCCCCCGGCUCAACUGGGGAGGGUCACGCGAUACUGAUCGACUCGAAGGCAGGAGAGGGUAGUGGAAUUCCCGGUGUAGUGGUGAAAUGCGUAGAUAUCGGGAGGAACACCAGUGGCGAAGGCGGCUCACUGGCCCGAUACUGACGCUGAGGCACGAAAGCGUGGGGAGCAAACAGG
Molecule: ribosomal RNA, 253 nt
Filed under: uncultured bacterium
Lineage: Bacteria
Description: partial 16S ribosomal RNA
Rfam family: Bacterial small subunit ribosomal RNA
Source: RNAcentral